UACGAAGGGGGCUAGCGUUGCUCGGGAUCACUGGGCGUAAAGGGUGCGUAGGCGGGUCUUUAAGUCAGGGGUGAAAUCCUGGAGCUCAACUCCAGAACUGCCUUUGAUACUGAGGAUCUUGAGUUCGGGAGAGGUGAGUGGAACUGCGAGUGUAGAGGUGAAAUUCGUAGAUAUUCGCAAGAACACCAGUGGCGAAGGCGGCUCACUGGCCCGAUACUGACGUUGAGGCACGAAAGCGUGGGGAGCAAACAGG
RNAcentral lists this ribosomal RNA (253 nucleotides) under uncultured bacterium. RNAcentral's name for it is "partial 16S ribosomal RNA". It matches the Rfam family "Bacterial small subunit ribosomal RNA", at positions 524 to 776 of the family's 1533-position model. The record is from RNAcentral.